UUAGCUCCCUCUUCCUCUAUCAAUCGCUCUCUUUCUCUUUCUCUGUUUAGUCUCCCAUCUUAGGAAAAAAUGGGGAUAGAGACGAUCAAGUAUUCAGUGGUUGACGCAUUCACUGAGUCAGCUUUCAAGGGAAACCCAGCAGUAGUUGUUUUGUUAGAGGAAGAUAAUAAGAAGGACGACAAAUGGUUUCAAACAGUGGCUAUGGAGUUCAAUAUGCCCGUCACCUGUUAUUUGACUCGCCACAAGAACAACACUCAUCAUGGUCCUUAUAAGAAUCACAAUAUUUCCAUUAAUCCUAUGUUCUCUCUUAGAUGGUUCUCUCCAACUGUUGAGGUAAAUCUUUGCGGCCACGGAACAUUAGCCGCUGCACACUCUCUCUUCGAGUCAGGACUAAUAGAUUCCAACAUUAUUGAGUUUGUCACAGCAUCAGGGGUUCUAACAGCUAAAAGGGUUUCAAGAAUGGUGAAGGAGCACAAAAAUCCUUUUAUAUAGAGUUGAAUGUUCCUACUGUUCCAAUCACCUCCGAAUUCGAUUCUGUUGAGCUUUCCAUGAUUUCUAAGGCCUUGGGUACUACUGGUGCUUCUAUCAUUGAUAAUAAAAGAACAGCUGCUGAUGACCACCUUGUUGUGCUCCCAUCAGCAAAAUCUGUUGUAGAUCUGCAACCUGAUUUUGAUGCAGUACAAAAAUGUCCAGGAAGAGGGAUAAUUGUAACCGGGAUUGCUCCUCCAGACUCCGGAUUAGAUUUUUACAGUAGAUUUUUGUAUCCAAAGUUAGGAGUCAACGAGGAUGCUGUCUGUGGGAGUGCACAUUGUCCCUUGGCACAAUACUGGUGCAAACAACUGGGAAAGUGUGAUUUACAUGCCUGUGCGGCGUCGCGAAGAGGAGGAGUUAUAAACAUUCAUCUGGAGGAGCAGAACCAGAGGGUGCCUGUUGCUAGGCAAAGCUUUUACCGUGAUGAAAGGAGCUCUCUUGGUUUAAAUUUAGCACUAGUUUUGUUUUGCAUAUGCCAAAUAAAAAAAAAGUUGAAAUAAGUGAGUCAUUAUUCCCUAGAAGUUUAUGAAUUGUCACAAACCAACAUUUAUUUAUGAAAUUUGCAUGUGGUAGGUGGUGACACCAUCUUGAGUAUUUUAAAUGUUUUUGAAUCUUGAGACAUAAUUGAGUAAUGAAGUAAAUCUGGGUUCUAGCAAUAUAUAUUUUGUAUCCUAAUCUUCGUCUUUAAUGAUAGUAACCUAGAAUCUUGGCCAAA
RNA transcript from Ziziphus jujuba (common jujube), 1246 nucleotides. RefSeq lists it as uncharacterized. The transcript has 6 exons. NCBI's taxonomy places the organism in Eukaryota, Viridiplantae, Streptophyta, Magnoliopsida, Rosales, Rhamnaceae. The record is from RefSeq and is a predicted model, not a curated record.